AUAACCCUUUGUGAACAUACCUACAACUGUUGCUUCGGCGGGUAGGCCGUCCCCUGAAAAGGACGCCUCCCGGCCCGGACCGGACCCCCCGCGGGACCGGACCCGGCGCCCGCCGGAGGAUAACCAAACUCUAUUGUAACGACGUUUCUUCUGAGUGGCAUAAGCAAAAUAAUCAAAACUUUUAACAACGGAUCUCUUGGUUCUGGCAUCGAUGAAGAACGCAGCGAAAUGCGAUAAGUAAUGUGAAUUGCAGAAUUCAGUGAAUCAUCGAAUCUUUGAACGCACAUUGCGCCCGCCAGCAUUCUGGCGGGCAUGCCUGUUCGAGCGUCAUUUCAACCCUCAAGCUCUGCUUGGUGUUGGGGCUCUACGGUCGACGUAGGCCCUCAAAGGUAGUGGCGGACCCUCCCGGAGCCUCCUUUGCGUAGUAACAUUUCGUCUCGCACUGGGAUCCGGAGGGACUCUUGCCGUAAAACCCCCCAAUUUCCAAAGGUUGACC
RNAcentral lists this ribosomal RNA (496 nucleotides) under Colletotrichum karsti. RNAcentral's name for it is "eukaryotic LSU rRNA". The stretch from base 177 to 330 matches the Rfam family "5.8S ribosomal RNA". The record is from RNAcentral. Lineage: Eukaryota; Fungi; Ascomycota; Sordariomycetes; Glomerellales; Glomerellaceae.